AGUGCAUUUUACACCCGCGGAGGGGGCAGAAGGGGGGAGGGGGUGUGUGAGGCAGCCCUUAAUAAUCAUCUCAACACAGGCUGUUUUUGCAGAUAUUUCAAUGUGAUGUGUCUUUCCCCCUUUUUUUUCCCCUUCAGGAGACAUUAAAUAAUCAGAGCAAUAGUGCGAGCUGCUGCACACCGAGGCUGCUUGUACAACGGGGCUUCACCUCAGCUGAACUUGACGCAUCUGGUUCAUCGGCGGCGCAGGACGCGCGGCGCAGUCAGCAGCUCUGUGUCCCCGCUGAACCGAGCUGGAUGGCGGCGGAGUGAAACGCGGAGGAGGGGGGGAGAGAGAGCACAACUCAUCCGCGGUUGCUUAAGGAGACAGCUCUUCCUGCACAUUCAACGUGACGACUUUUUUUUUUCUUUUCUUUUUUGUACCUCUCAUCCUUCAAAUAAUGUCGCUUCGUGUUCGCUACUUGAUGCUUUUUGUGGACACCAGACAUACUGUGGAGGACAAGCCACCGAGUGACAGAUGUAAAGCCGGCAGACACGGUUGUUGGACACACGGAGGAAGAGAGAGACCCAAGUUGAACUUGAGACAGGUUAGUGCGCAGUCUUUUAUUCUGUCCUCGCUGAAAGGCCUGUUUGUGAGAGGUUUAUCUGAGCGGAAAGUGCUAAAAAAUAACAAAGCAGUGGUCGUUUUGUCGAGUGAAGCUAGACUUGUGUUAAAUAAUGAAACUGUAUAUCUCCUCUGGUGAAUAUUGACACUGUUCCAUCUAAACCGGUCCGCUGUCCUCGGGGAAGUUUCAAGAAAGAGCUUCAUAUCAACGACACAGCUUAAAAUAAUCGACAUAAAUGCAAAAUAAAGACUAAAGCAGCCUCUAGUUUUUUACGUGAAGAUGAAAUGGUCGCCAGACAGUAAAUUCUGGAUAGCAAUAGACGAAAAAGAGGUCGCCUUUUCGUGCCCUACUUUCCCUUCGCAGAGAGGCAUAAUCUUCCCCUUUGUUGUCCCCCGGUGCAAAACAUAGAUAGGCAGCCGGGCAGAUCCCGUCAGUCCAGCGGAAACAUCUCCACUCUUCUAAAUGAGCAAUUCAUAGGAUUUCAGGAAAAUAUGCUUUUAAUUAGAAACGCAGCAUCUCUGGAGCUGUCAGCCAGAGAUAAUCAGUGUAUGUCAGACAUUAAAACAUAUGGCAGAGCUGUGCGGUUUCCCUGAUGUGUCACUGUGGUUUCCCCCAGUGAAGUUUUUGAUGAAAUUAAUUCAGUGAAAUGUGAGAGGAGCUAUUUCUGCAGUAGCUGGAUGUAUUUUAAAUGGUUAACAGGCCUGUAUAGGCUUCCAGUCUGUCUCUCAGGUGUGCAGCAAGCUUAGUUAAAAGCAUAAGGUGUGUAAAAUUUAAUUGAAAUUCCUUUGAGAGAUGAAAUUGGGUUGCGAGCAAUCAUAUUUGUUUGGUGAUACAUAUAAAAGUGUGCUCAGACACUCAUAACAGUAGCUGCAUAGUAAUCAAGAGGGAUGUUAAGAUUUGUCGGCAAGUGUACCAAACAAAUGAGUAGUUUUUAGGUUCAAAUAGAGUUCAUUUUAUAUCCCAAACCUUAUCUCCCCAUGGCUGUAGAUUAAUUAUUAAUAAGACUGCACAUUUUCCUAAAAAAAUACCUUUUUUUCUCAGCAACUACAGCAAAAAUAGCAUCAAAGCAUUUAAGAUCAUCUACACAAUAUUGAUUUGCAAAUGAAUCAAACUGGGUUUUUUUUACACUGCAUGCAUAAAAAAGCAGGAUUUGAAUCCGGAGUGUCCUGCUUUACAGCAUAUUUUAACACGCCGCUUGUUUGUGUGUUGCAGGCAGUCAGGUUUUAGUUUGGUUGUCAUGCGGCAUAUAUAUCUUCAUGCCAAAGUUAACCUAUUACCCAAAGUAUCGUCGCACAUAUCUGCGAUUUACAAUCAAGUCAAUCUUAAUAGAUAGUUUGCCCUUCAUACCAUCUGUGGCAUUGUGCACACCUGAGCAUGUUUUUGUCUCGGCAUGCGUAUGUGCAUGUGUGUUUGUGCAGGCUUUGUCUGCAGGCUGGCUGACCGGACAGGUAAGAUUUUGCUCAUACUGGAGUGUUAGUUGAAAGUGCAAAGCGGCAGAGAUUCUCAAGAAAAGCUGUGUGUCCACUGACAGAAACAAGGUGUCUCUCCUCCCCCUCUUUGUCUCACUCUUUCAGUGGAAAACAGAACAGUUCUGUCAGAGGCCAAAAGAUGAGCGGGAUCAGUGUGACCUUUUGGUCACAGCUCUCAGUUGUAAAAAUGCCUUGUCAUAAGAUGAUUUAAUGUUGGUUUUUUAUAAAUGCACAGUUUUUGUGCAGGAAAUCGCUGUUGUGCCUUUGGGAAUUAGGAGCAGAAACACAGGUGGCCCUCAGACAAUGAACUCGGUCUCAUUUUUCCACUGUGAGUCAGUGGGACAGGAGAAAGCACAUGGCUGCAGAGUGAAAAUUGGCGUGAUUAUCAUCUGAUUUACCCUGCCACCCUGCAGCUUAGAGCCUCACAGUGGGCCAUUCUGGCAGUGGCCAGUACAGAGCUGAGAAGAGGCUUGGAUUUGCCCAAAUUUUCUCUCAUUUGCUUUCUGAACAGCUUCAUCCUCCCUCCUUCUCCCCCUCCAGCUCACUCAUAUCUCACGCAAUUGAUUGAAACCCUAAACGGCAAGAUCAGGCUGAGCUCAAUCAAGCCUUUCUAUGAAUAGUGGAUUGGAUUUGAAUGUGAUGUGGUGUGUCGUGUCUUUAAGGGCAUUUCAGGUCAGAGGGCGGAAGACGGUGGGAUUGGCGGGAUGGGCGGGGGGGAUUUUGUUGCCCUGCACGUCUGAUACUGCAGUGUGGCAUGUUAUAUCGUACCGUUCGGUCCUAAGAUUUAUUGUCAAGACGCUCCGAGACUCUUGUCACUCCCUAAUUGGGCCGUCAGGCAUUUUGAGAAUGUCCACGAGUAGACUUGCUGUAGUUCCAGCUUGUGUAGGGAUCUGAGGGGUUUUCUCAGCCGUAUUUUUAAACAUUACACGUGUUUUCUGAUCUGUCUCUGCCACCUUUUCAUGUUCUACCCUUCACAGCUUUGGUGUUUCAAAAGUACCAGCACUGAGACUCAGUCACAGAUUUUUUUUAUAUUGCUAUUAAUAAUGUGGCAAGCCUCGAACUGUCAGUACAGUGUGCAGAUAGUGUGUGUUUUUGAGUUCAACAAGCACUUGUCUGCGUGCAUGUUUGUUGCUCCGGUAUGCCUUUGCUGUCCCCACCAAACACUUCAUGUUUUAAAUCUCUGCACAUCUCAGUGCAGGGCAUUUAAGUGCUUGACCUAAUUUCUCUGGCAGCGAAGAAUCCACUAGUGAAGGCCUUCCUCUGUGUGUGUAUAUGUGUGUGUGUGCAUGUGCGCACGCGCAUGUUGCUCUGGGUGUUUCCUUCUUGCCUUUCUAACAGGAAGCUGAUGUGGAGUUCAACUGAGGACAAGGAAAAGGCCCUUUCUUUCCACUGUGAAUCAUUUGAGAGAGAGAGAGAGAGAGAGAGAAAAAAAUGAAAAAAAGAGAAGGGGGGAAAAAAAGGACCAGGCCGCUGCAUUGAUUCAACCCUCUGCAAUCUGGCCCGCUUCUCUCCCUCUCUACUCCCCUACUCCCCCCCACCUCUCUCUCCUCUCUCUCUCACUUAUUCCCUGCCUUUCUGCCUCUUCAUUCUCUUUACCUUAUUGUCUGUUUCAGCUUUUUUUUUUUCCUCUCUCCCGCUCCUUUGUCUUAUUCCUAUUUCUUCUGAUGUUGGAUAGACAGCAGUGUUCUGGAGGGAAUCGGCGGGUUUAUGGAGAGUUCACGAGUCCUGUGAGAAGAUGGGGAGGGGGGGAAGAGGAAAGGAAAGACGAAAAGCAAAUGAAGCAAGGCUCUAUGGGGAGCAGUGCAGGUUCUUCCGGUUCAGUUUUUAGAUACCCACAGCAAAAUGUGGCUGCCUACUCUAUGUACUUGGGGGCUGAAAUAACAUAAAACGCCUACACAAACUGGACCAUGGGCUUUAUUGAAGCAAGUGUAGAGGCACUGUGAGGGAUUGUGAACCCCCAUAUACUCCUUGAAGCUUUAAUUGUAUGAAAAAAGCUUAGAGUAGCUGAUAAACCCUCCUUUAGUGAGAGAUAAAUAGAUAAACAGCUUAAAUUUUUAACUAGGUUUCUCGCUGCAUUAAAAAUGAUACACGAAAAAUGUUUUUCCUAUAAUAUCACUGUGCUAAUACAACUGGAUUCUUUUUUGGGUCAUAAAUGUCACAUUUAUUUGAUGGUCAGUGAUUUUUUGUGUAGGAAAACGUCAGAUACGUCUGGGACACUGAUUAUAAAUCAACAACGGACAAAAGCAAAUGUUAAAAACAGCGUCACAGCACGUCCUAGACCCCACUCUCACAAAUGUCAGUAGAGGUUUUGUGAAUGUGCAGCAGUAAAGGGGGAUUUUGAGGGAUUGAAUAAGAAGAGAUAGUCUGACAAAAGCCACCUCCUCAGCCUCUUUCAUGCGCUUGCAAAAUCAUAAACUGUUUGAUUAGUAUGUCUGCAGGGCUAAGCCACAGCGUAGAGAGGAUACGGUGCUGCUGCAGCACAACAGGAAUAUUCAUGAAUAUGCCGUUGUUGUCACAGAGCAGUCAAAAUAAGUCCUGUUUUUUUAAUGAAGUGUGCUGUGAAAUAAUGAAAUAAUGCAGUGACCCUUUCCUCACCUCUCAAACAGCGUAUAGAUUUAUUUAAAAGAAGUCCGUUAUGUGUUUUAUUCAUGUAAAAGGAGAAUAGAUUAAUGUUCAAUGUUGAAAUGCUGUGAAUUUUUAAAAUAAUCUUCAUGUCAGUUGUCUCAGAGAGAGAUGCCCCCCCCCCCCCCGUUUGUUCAUGUCCGUUUAUGUCGGUAUAAAUCUGCCCUAUUUUAGUUGUCCUGACUUUGGUUUUGUUGAUGAAUUUUCCCAUUUAGAAUAACUGUCUCUGAUAUUUUAUAAAACAAAUUAUAUGGUAUAUGUCUUUGGUUAAUGAACACGUUGAACAAAUAUUGUUACAAUGUGAUUUAUGAAUUUAUUAUAUAAUUUUAUAGCACUAAAAAAUAAAAAUCUUGUGUUUGAAUAUAAAAAUGAAUAAAAACCAGCUGGUGCUCUGACCAGCAGCGCUGACAUGUGACAGCAGAAAUGUUCCAGCAAGGAUGUACUGUGCUCAGCAUGUACUGGAACACUGUGGGAGAACGACACGCUACGAAGCGACAGACCAAAUGCCUAAUCAAUCACCGAUCUUGAUCAUUUUUCCCUCUGCCGAAUCAAAAACCAAAGUGGUGAUGUUGUAGAUUUAUUCGUAGUUUUAAUCAUUUUCUCUGUGUUGUGUAUCUGGUGCAGGGCAAGUGAGGACACAAGCACAGGUGGAAGCACAGGACCUUAGAUCCUGCAUGUGAGGUAAGUGCAUCGCCAUGAUAACACACACACACACACACACACACACACACACACACACACACACACACACACACACACACAAAUGUUCUUUCAGUCUAUGAAGAAAAACAUGCUUUAACAAAUGAACAGAUUGAAUUCAGCUUUAGGAUUCAUGUUUGAAAAACAGAUCCUAAAAUGUUGCAGAGUUGGAAAUAUUAUUUUUAUUUGUUGAUUUAAAGUUGUAGCCUCUUACCUUAUUUGAACUCGUACUCUCUAUCAGUGAAGCAGCUGUGAAAAAUGAUCAAAAGGAGUACCUUACAGAGUUAAGGGGAUAUGAGAGAGAAUCCAGUAUUGGGAGUCUUUGAACCUUACAGCACAAACUGUCCUUUUUCAGUUCAUGUAAAAAUGUGAUUUGAACAUUUGCUCAAAUGAAGAGUUGCUGUGUAUUUUAUCAAUGUGGCCAAAUUUAGUUUUUUUAACGGACCACAGAAACUCAAACAGAGUCUAGUGAUGAGCUCGAGUUUGUCCAGGAACACUGAUCGCAAAGAGUCCUGCCUUUGUCUCAGUGUGAAAGAAAGUUUUGUUAAGUGGGAUUUUUGUGAGGAAAAGUGUGGAAAGAAAAAAAAUUGUUUUCCUGUUAGAUCAAAAGUAAGUACUAAAUCCUAGUGACCGUAAUUGACCUGAAAAUAAGAUAACCCUGAUGAUAAGACUGCCCUCGAAAAAAAAACAUUUUUUUUAUAGCAGGAAGACUCUUUGAAGACCAAAUGUUGUUUUUAUGGAGAAAAUUUAGUAAUUGAUAAUAAAUCAAACUUACACAGUUAAAAAAAAGUAGAUGGUUGUUUGUAACACCUUUUAAAGAAACUCAAUUUCUCUUCAAUUUCUUUUUAAAAUAAAUUGUGAGGUGAAAAUGGGAUUAAAUAUAUGACCUGUGUCUUCAUAAAGCACAUAUGGUAGUUGUAUAUAUUUUGUCAUUUUGCUUUAGGAAUUCAGUUAAACUGCAGUCUUUAUGAGGGCUGACCGUUUCGCUCAUGACCGUACUCUCAGUGCUUGUUUCAGUCACACACAUCUGCAUUUUUUAGUCCUUCGUCCUCUCCUGCUCUCUUUGGACAGUAAACAUAGAGAGACCUUCAUUUCUCUGCUGUUUGAUGGUUGUUUCAUGACUCUGCUUCAUUUGUGUUAUUGAUUUAUUGAUCUUAUAUCUUUGAGUUAUACUUGCCUAUAUUUAGAGGCAGUGAACAGAGCAUAAAAUAGGGGGGGAGUGACUUGCAGCAAAAGAGCCACAGGCUGGAAUCAAACCCUGGCUGCUCUCUUAAGGCAUCACUUCCAUGUUUGGACCUGUGUAGAUCGCUCGGCCUGCACUGCCCACACUUUCUUUUGCUUUAAUCACCUUUUAUUUUACAAUAUUUUUGCUUCAGUUGUUGGCUAACUUGCCCUGAUUGAAUCUACUUUCAUCUGAUCAUCGUGUCUCUGGUGCUGUGGUACUGAGCAAUGACUGGCCUCAGUCAUGAAGACGACACUAGCUUUACUAAUAAUUGGCACUUGUAGAGACCAAUAUUGCUUUUAAAUUGCUAAAUCUGGAAUAUUAGACAAUCCCACUUUUGUAGAAGUAUUUAGGUAGGAAAAUGAAAAAUAUCUCACAUUCAGGUGCUCUAACUUAUGGUUUCUCCCUGACAGGAUCAGUCCAUUUGUGCCAAUAAUUGCAGGGUGAAUUUUCAAGCUGAAUCUGACAUGUUUGUCAUUGAUAAGAAAUAACCCUCCUUCACAUCAAAUACAGUGUCACUCUGUAUGAAUUGAUUUCUUAAAUUCUAUAGAACACUAAGAAUCAGGGCACACAGCCCUCGUCACGUUAAAUGAUUGUCCCAUAAUUCAGAUCUUUUUUAGUAAAUGUGGAAACACAAGUUGCUUCACUGGGAUAGGGUGGGGUGUGAGUUUGAACAAUGCUUGGCAGCCGAAUUUGCAUUUCACUGAUGAAGUGAGACAGAGGAGUUUUUAGUUUUUAUUAGCUCAGCAAUAAAAUUAGCAGUGAAUUAUUCCAGACAGUUAGACUUAUUUGGAGUAUAAAGUAUAUAAAGUCCCUUCAGGAGUUGAAAUAGACAAGUUUGAUCUGUUCAGACUGUCCCCUCAGGGUGUCUCACCAAAUAAAACAGGACUGAUCAUAACUCUAUUUUAUUAAUUUCAUUUUAUUAGAAAUAAGCUAUAAUUAUGAAUCAUCCUUUUUUUAUUUGUGCUUUUUAUAUAAUAUAUUGUUAUAUAUUACAAAAGUGCCCAACCGUACAAAGCAAU
This 7638-nucleotide long non-coding RNA is filed under the name Xyrichtys novacula (pearly razorfish). Lineage: Eukaryota; Metazoa; Chordata; Actinopteri; Labriformes; Labridae. The record is from RNAcentral.